This 598-nucleotide ribosomal RNA is filed under the name uncultured bacterium. Its description in RNAcentral is "bacterial SSU rRNA". It matches the Rfam family "Bacterial small subunit ribosomal RNA", at positions 880 to 1478 of the family's 1533-position model. The record is from RNAcentral.
GUACGGCCGCAAGGUUAAAACUCAAAUGAAUUGACGGGGGCCCGCACAAGCGGUGGAGCAUGUGGUUUAAUUCGACGCAACGCGAAGAACCUUACCUGGCCUUGACAUCCUGCGAACUUUCUAGAGAUAGAUUGGUGCCUUCGGGAACGCAGUGACAGGUGCUGCAUGGCCGUCGUCAGCUCGUGUCGUGAGAUGUUGGGUUAAGUCCCGUAACGAGCGCAACCCCUAUCCUUGGUUGCUAGCAGUUCGGCUGAGAACUCCAGGGAGACUGCCGGUGACAAACCGGAGGAAGGUGGGGAUGACGUCAGGUCAUCAUGGCCCUUACGGCCAGGGCUACACACGUGCUACAAUGGCGCGCACAGAGGGCUGCAAACCCGCGAGGGUAAGCCAAUCUCUUAAAACGCGUCGUAGUCCGGAUCGCAGUCUGCAACUCGACUGCGUGAAGUCGGAAUCGCUAGUAAUCGCGAAUCAGAAUGUCGCGGUGAAUACGUUCCCGGGCCUUGUACACACCGCCCGUCACACCAUGGGAGUGGAUUGCACCAGAAGUGGUUAGUCUAACCUUCGGGAGGACGAUCACCACGGUGUGGUUCAUGACUGG